Molecule: ribosomal RNA, 427 nt
Filed under: uncultured bacterium
Lineage: Bacteria
Description: partial 16S ribosomal RNA
Rfam family: Bacterial small subunit ribosomal RNA
Source: RNAcentral
UGGGGAAUAUUGCACAAUGGGCGCAAGCCUGAUGCAGCCAUGCCGCGUGUAUGAAGAAGGCCUUCGGGUUGUAAAGUACUUUCAGCGAGGAGGAAGGCGGUAAGGUUAAUAACCUUAUCGAUUGACGUUACUCGCAGAAGAAGCACCGGCUAACUCCGUGCCAGCAGCCGCGGGAAUACGGAGGGUGCAAGCGUUAAUAGGAAUUACUGGGCGUAAAGCGCACGCAGGCGGUCUGUCAAGUCGGAUGUGAAAUCCCCGGGCUCAACCUGGGAACUGCAUUCGAAACUGGCAGGCUAGAGUCUUGUAGAGGGGGGUAGAAUUCCAGGUGUAGCGGUGAAAUGCGUAGAGAUCUGGAGGAAUACCGGUGGCGAAGGCGGCCCCCUGGACAAAGACUGACGCUCAGGUGCGAAAGCGUGGGGAGCAAACA